GCUCCGGUGGCCUGAUAGUUAGAGUGUCCGCCUCGGGUGCGGGAGAUCGCAGGUGCGAACCCCGGUCGAGGCA
This is a non-coding RNA of Potamilus streckersoni, 73 nucleotides long. Lineage: Eukaryota; Metazoa; Mollusca; Bivalvia; Unionida; Unionidae. The record is from the annotation of a GenBank genome assembly.